CUUAAGCAUAUCAAUAAGCGGAGGAAAAGAAACCAACAGGGAUUACCUCAGUAACGGCGAGUGAAGCGGUAACAGCUCAAAUUUGAAAUCUGGUCCUUUCAGGGCCCGAGUUGUAAUUUGUAGAAGAUGCUUUGGGUGUGGCCCCGGUCUAAGUUCCUUGGAACAGGACGUCAUAGAGGGUGAGAAUCCCGUAUGUGACUGGGUGCUUUCGCCUAUGUAAAGCUCUUUCGACGAGUCGAGUUGUUUGGGAAUGCAGCUCAAAAUGGGUGGUAAAUUUCAUCUAAAGCUAAAUAUUGGCCAGAGACCGAUAGCGCACAAGUAGAGUGAUCGAAAGAUGAAAAGCACUUUGGAAAGAGAGUUAAACAGUACGUGAAAUUGUUGAAAGGGAAGCGCUUGCAACCAGACUUGCACGCCGUCGAUCAUCCUGGGUUCUCCCUGGUGCACUCGGCGGCGUUCAGGCCAGCAUCGGUUUUGGUGGUGGGAUAAAGGCCUUGGGAAUGUAGCUCCUCUCGGGGAGUGUUAUAGCCCUCGGUGCAAUGCCGCCUACCGGGACCGAGGACCGCGCUUCGGCUAGGAUGCUGGCGUAAUGGUUGUAAGCGACCCGUCUUGAAACACGGACCAAGGAGUCUAACAUCUAUGCGAGUAUUUGGGUGUUAAACCCAUAUGCGUAAUGAAAGUGAACGGAGGUGAGAACCCUUAAGGGUGCAUCAUCGACCGAUCCUGAUGUCUUCGGAUGGAUUUGAGUAAGAGCAUAGCUGUUGGGACCCGAAAGAUGGUGAACUAUGCCUAAAUAGGGUGAAGCCAGAGGAAACUGGUGGAGGCUCGCAGCGGUUCUGACGUGCAAAUCGAUCGUCAAAUUUGGGUAUAGGGGCGAAAGACUAAUCGAACCAUCUAGUAGCUGGUUCCUGCCGAAGUU
This 916-nucleotide ribosomal RNA is filed under the name Incrucipulum capitatum. Its description in RNAcentral is "partial large subunit ribosomal RNA". It matches the Rfam family "Eukaryotic large subunit ribosomal RNA", at positions 33 to 968 of the family's 3401-position model. Lineage: Eukaryota; Fungi; Ascomycota; Leotiomycetes; Helotiales; Lachnaceae. The record is from RNAcentral.